UCACUUCCCAUCUUUAGGCAGUGUCGUUUUACAAAUUCUCUAAUAGAACAACUUUUAUGGAACUUUUAAGACAUUCACCCCAUGUUGUAGUCUCUCCCUCUUUACAAUUUUCCUCCCCUCUGUCCUACCAGCUUUUUUUCCCCCCUUCUCUUCCUGUCUGCUUUUUCUGAUGUCUUUCCACAGAUAUCAGGGUGGUCUGGUUCAUAUUCUUUAAAUGGAUGGAAAAUGAUGACAAGGCUGCUAAGUUUCUCAGCCUGUCACACCACUGUUCUAGUGUUUGGAUGGGUCCCACAGUCUGUGUUUGAAUCCUAACUGGCCAGCAACCUCAC
Anguilla rostrata (American eel) is the source of this 329-nucleotide long non-coding RNA. RefSeq lists it as uncharacterized. The record is from RefSeq and is a predicted model, not a curated record. The transcript has 2 exons. Lineage: Eukaryota; Metazoa; Chordata; Actinopteri; Anguilliformes; Anguillidae.